RNAcentral lists this ribosomal RNA (450 nucleotides) under uncultured Glomus. RNAcentral's name for it is "SSU rRNA". It matches the Rfam family "Eukaryotic small subunit ribosomal RNA", at positions 569 to 1025 of the family's 1831-position model. Lineage: Eukaryota; Fungi; Glomeromycota; Glomeromycetes; Glomerales; Glomeraceae. The record is from RNAcentral.
AGCAGCCGCGGUAAUUCCAGCUCCAAUAGCGUAUAUUAAAGUUGUUGCAGUUAAAAAGCUCGUAGUUGAAUUUCGGGAUCAAUAUAUCGGUCGUGCCUUGGUACGUACUGGUAUCAUUGGUUUCUCCUUUCUGACGAACCAUGAUGUCAUUAAUUUGGUGUUAUGGGAAGUUAGGACUGUUACUUUGAAAAAUUAGAGUGUUUAAAGCGGGCCCACGCUUGAAUACAUUAGCAUGGAAUAAUGAAAUAGGACGUUUGAUUCUAUUUUGUUGGUUUCUAGGAUCGACGUAAUGAUUAAUAGGGAUAGUUGGGGGCAUUAGUAUUCAAUUGUCAGAGGUGAAAUUCUUGGAUUUAUUGAAGACUAACUACUGCGAAAGCAUUUGCCAAGGAUGUUUUCAUUAAUCAAGAACGAAAGUUAGGGGAUCGAAGACGAUCAGAUACCGUCGUAGUC